AGAAGGGAUGUCACCCUUCAGGUCUGGUUAGUCAACCACCUUUCAUCAGCACAACAUUUAUUUAUUUCCUGUUACUGAAAUAAAACAUAAAGCAUGCAUGUUCAAUAAUUCUCCUUUAACACUGUGCUAGAGUAACUGAACUUUUAUGGUGAUAAACAGUGAUGCAAAAUUAAUAUGGUGGGACCCAAUGUGAAAAAAAAAAGUGGUCUCAUAAUAGAUUAUAGUGCAUGCAUAUAUAUGUUCUUAUGCUACAGGCAGUGCUACUUAAGCACGUAUUGCUUAGGGCUAAAUUCUGUCAUCUUUUCACAGCUUCCUAUUCUUUAAGUUGUCUCAUCAUGUAGGGUCACAGAGUCUGACACAGAGCAAGUAGAAGUGAUGAAUUAUGAGUUUCCUUAUCAUGAUUGUCCAGAGCCUUCCAAGUUGUCACUUCAAAUUCAUCCCUUAGAGCUGGUGUGUGACAGAAAGGUCCACUACUGUACAUCAGAUUUCCUUCAGAUUUGGAGCUUUUCGGAGCUUCGAGAGUUUGAGCAGGCACCAUGGAUGACUUUGAACGCCGCAGGGAGCUCAGGAGGCAAAAGCGUGAGGAAAUGCGCCUUGAAGCAGAGAGACAAUAUGUCAACUCCUUUUGGAGCAGUGGCACACUGGAAGGAAGGAGGCAUAGUACUUAAGUGUGCAGUAUCUCUGAAACAGUCACCUGCUUUUCUAUAAG
Long non-coding RNA from Crocodylus porosus (Australian saltwater crocodile), 709 nucleotides. Lineage: Eukaryota; Metazoa; Chordata; Crocodylia; Crocodylidae. The record is from Ensembl.